Molecule: long non-coding RNA, 2989 nt
Filed under: Homo sapiens (human)
Lineage: Eukaryota; Metazoa; Chordata; Mammalia; Primates; Hominidae
Description: HSALNT0137331
Source: RNAcentral
CUGGUCUCAUGAUAGUGAGUGAGUUUUCAUGAGAUCUGAUGGUUUUUAAACGGGCUUUUCCCCCUUGGGUUGGCACUUCUCCUUCCUGCCAUCAUGUGAGGAAAGUCAUGUUUACUUCCCCUUCUGGCACGAUUGUAAGUUUUCUGAGUCCUCCACAGCCAUGCAGAAACUGUGAGUCAUUUAAACCUCUUUUUUUACAAGUUACCCAGUCUCAGGCAGUUCUUCAUAGCAGCAUAAGAAUACAGGAAAUUGGUACCAAGUAGGUUGCUGCUAUAAAGACACCUGAAAAUGUGGAAGCCACUUUGGAACUGGGUAACAGGCAGAGGUUGGAACAGUUUGGAGGGCUCAGAAGAAGACAGGAAAAUGUGGGAAAGUUUCGAACUUCCUAGAGACUCAGAGGGCUCAGAAGACAGAAAGAUGUAAGAAAGUUUGGAACUUUCUAGAGACUUCUUGAAUGUUUUUGACCAAAAUGUUGAUAGUGAUAUGGACAAUGAAGUCCAGGCUGAGGUGGUCUCAGAUGGAGAUAAGGAACUUGUUGGGAACUGGAGCAAAGGUGACUCUUGUUAUGCUUUACCGAAGAGACUGGUGGCAUUUUGACCCUCCCCUAGAGAUCUGUGGAACUUUGAACUUGAGAGAGAUGAUUUAGGGUAUCUGGUGGAAGAAAUUUCUAAACAGCAAAGCCUUCAAGAGGAAGCAGAACAUAAAAGUUUGAAAAAUUUGCAGGCUGACUAUGAGGUAGAAAAGAAAGCCCCAUUUUCUGGGGAGAAAUUCAAGUCAGCUACAGAAAUUUGCAUAAGUAACAAGGAAACAAAUGGUAAUCACCGAGACAACAGGGAAAAUGUCUCCACCUAGGAGAAAAAAGUGGGCUGGGCCCAGGGCCCCCCUGCUGUGUGCAGCGUAGGAACUUAGUGCCCUGCACCCCAGCUGCCCUAGCCAUGGCUGAAAGCGGCCAAGGUACAGCUCAGGCCGUGGCUUCAGAGGGUGCAAGCCUCAAGCCCUCGCGGCUUCCACAUGAUGUUGGGCAAGCGGGUGCAGAGAAGACAAGAAUUGAGUUUUGGGAACCUCUGCCUAGAUUUCAGAGGAUGUAUGGAAACACCUGGAUGUCCAGGCAGAUGCCUGCUGCAGGGUUGGAGCACUCAUGGAGAACUUCUGCUAGGGCAGUGUGAAAGGGAAAUGUGGGGUCAGAGCCCCACACAGAGUCCCCACUGAGGCUCCGCCUAGUGGAGCUGUGAAAAGAGGGCCACCAUCCUCCAGACCCCAGAAUGGUAGAUCCACUGACAGCUUGCACCAUGCACCUGGAAAAGCCACAGACUCUCAAUGCCAGCUGUGAAAACAGUCUACAGGGGAGCUAUACCCUGAAAAGUCAUAAGGAGGAGCUGCUCAAGGUUGUGGGAGCCUAUCUCUUGCAUCAGUGUGACAUGGAUGUGAGACAUGGAAUCAAAGUAGAUCAUUUGAAACUUUAAGGUUUAAUGACUGCCCUAUUGGAUUUCAGAUGUGCAUGGGGCCUGUAGUCACUUUGUUUUGGCCAAUUUCUCCCAUUUGGAAUGGGUGUAUUUACCCAAUGCCUGUACAUACAUUGUAUCUAAGAAGUAAUUAAGUUGCUUUUGAUUUUACAGGCUCAUAGUUUGAAGGGACUUGCCUUGUCUCAAGUGAGACUUUGGAUUUGAACUUUUGGGUUAAUGUUGGAAUGACUUCAGACUUUGGGGGACUGUUGGGAAGGCAUGAUUGUGUUUUGAAAUGUGAGGACAUGGGAUUUGAGAGGGGUAAGGAUCAGAAUGAUAUGGUUUGGCUUUGUGUCCCCAUCCAAAUCUCAUCUUGAAUUGUAGUUCCCAUAAUCCCAAUGUGUUGUGGGAGGGACUCAGUGGGAGGUAAUUGAAUCAUGGAGGUGGCUAUCCCCAUGCUGCUGUUCUCAUGAUAGUGAGUGAGUUCUCACAAGAUCUGAUAGUUUUAUAAGAGGCUAUUUUCCCUUUGCUUGGCACUUCUCCUUCCUGCCAUCAUGUGAAGAAGGAUCUGUUUUCUCCCUUCCGGCAUGAUUGUAAGUUUCCUAAGGCCACCCCAGCCAUGCAGAACUGUGAGUCAAUUCAACCUCUUUCCUUUAUAAAUUACCCACUCUUGUGCAGUUCUUUAUGGCAGCAUGAGAAUGGACUAAUACAAGAGGUAACAACCUUUUCCUGCAUUGGCUGAUUUUUAAUUUCAGUCUGUUCAAAACAAUCAAUAUGCCAAAGUUGUAUACUUUGGAGUGACAUGUCCUGAACUCCCACAGAGAUUAUGUCAUAAGAAAGGGGCAGAAGAAGCAUCACCAACUCUAAGGAACCAAAGUCUCUCCAGCCACCAAAAUGAAUGCAGCUGCCACUUAGGGGAAGUGGACAAGGACAGAACCACCCAGAGAUGAUGGUGAGAAAAGGCAGAAGGCCUGGGAGCUGGAAAAUGACUCCAUGGAGUAAAAGAUCACAGCAUCCUUUGGGACAAGACCGAUGUUCAUGACAAGGUAAUAGCAAAAUUAUUUUCUUUCUGAUGAGGCUCUGUUCUUAUACUCCCUCCCAGAGGCUGCAGGCCUGAUGGUUGUAAGCCUUACUGGGCAGAGAGACACCCAGCCCUGCCUAGAGGUGGUACUGAAGAAAGGGCUGGGGCUGCAUGAAAUUUUAAAUUUUAAAAACCAACUGAGAGCCAGUUUGCUCUUCAUUAUCACUGUGCCCCAAUACUUCUAAACAAUAUCAGUGACAAAAUAGUCUUCUAUGUAACAUCUUUUUAGGUCUAAAUUCUAGAUCAUUGCUAUGCUUUCUGUUGAGUUUUGUUUUAACUGGAGUAAAAUACACAUAACAUAAAAUUUACCAUCUUAACCAUUUUUAAGUAUACAUUUCAGUGCCAUGAAGUGCAUCCACAUUUUUAUGCAACCAUCACCAUCAUCCUUCUCCAGAACUUUUUUCAUUCAUUUUACAAAACUGAAACUCUGUAUCCAUGAAGCAUAACUCCUCAUUCUUCCCUGCCU